This 73-nucleotide transfer RNA is filed under the name Bos taurus (domestic cattle). It matches the Rfam family "tRNA". Rfam says of the family: Transfer RNA (tRNA) molecules are approximately 80 nucleotides in length. Their secondary structure includes four short double-helical elements and three loops (D, anti-codon, and T loops). RNAcentral also lists the same sequence under 1 other name. Lineage: Eukaryota; Metazoa; Chordata; Mammalia; Artiodactyla; Bovidae. The record is from Rfam by way of RNAcentral.
UCCUUGGUGGUCCAGUGGUUAAGACUCUGCGCUUCCACUGCCAAGGGCCUGGGUUCAAUCCCUGGUUGAGGAA